Molecule: ribosomal RNA, 436 nt
Filed under: uncultured bacterium
Lineage: Bacteria
Description: bacterial SSU rRNA
Rfam family: Bacterial small subunit ribosomal RNA
Source: RNAcentral
AGCGAACGCUGGCGGCAGGCUUAACACAUGCAAGUCGAGCGGGCGUAGCAAUACGUCAGCGGCAGACGGGUGAGUAACGCGUGGGAACGUACCUUUUGGUUCGGAACAACACAGGGAAACUUGUGCUAAUACCGGAUAAAGCCCUUACGGGGAAAGAUUUAUCGCCGAAAGAUCGGCCCGCGUCUGAUUAGCUAGUUGGUGAGGUAACGGCUCACCAAGGCGACGAUCAGUAGCUGGUCUGAGAGGAUGAUCAGCCACAUUGGGACUGAGACACGGCCCAAACUCCUACGGGAGGCAGCAGUGGGGAAUAUUGGACAAUGGGGGCAACCCUGAUCCAGCCAUGCCGCGUGAGUGAUGAAGGCCCUAGGGUUGUAAAGCUCUUUUGUGCGGGAAGAUAAUGACGGUACCGCAAGGAUAAGCCCCGGCUAACUUCGUG